GUGGAUUAGAUACCCUGGUAGUCCACGCCCUAAACGAUGCUGACUAGUUGUUCGGGAUUUACAUCCUGAGUAACGUAGCUAACGCGUGAAGUCAGCCGCCUGGGGAGUACGGUCGCAAGAUUAAAACUCAAAGGAAUUGACGGGGACCCGCACAAGCGGUGGAUGAUGUGGAUUAAUUCGAUGCAACGCGAAAAACCUUACCUACCCUUGACAUGUCACUAACGAAGUAGAGAUACAUUAGGUGCCCGUAAGGGAAAGUGAACACAGGUGCUGCACGGCCGUCGUCAACU
This 290-nucleotide ribosomal RNA is filed under the name uncultured bacterium. RNAcentral describes it as "partial 16S ribosomal RNA". It matches the Rfam family "Bacterial small subunit ribosomal RNA", at positions 773 to 1060 of the family's 1533-position model. The record is from RNAcentral.